This 497-nucleotide ribosomal RNA is filed under the name uncultured bacterium. Its description in RNAcentral is "partial 16S ribosomal RNA". It matches the Rfam family "Bacterial small subunit ribosomal RNA", at positions 28 to 507 of the family's 1533-position model. The record is from RNAcentral.
GAUGAACGCUGGCGGCGUGCCUAAUACAUGCAAGUCGAGCGACCAGACGAGGAGCUUGCUCCUCUGACGUUAGCGGCGGACGGGUGAGUAACACGUGCAUAACCUACCUAUUAGACUGGGAUAACUUCGGGAAACCGGAGCUACUACCGGAUAAUAUAUUGAACCGCAUGAUUCAAUAGUGAAAGACGGUUUUGCCGUCACUUAUAGAUGGAUCCGCGCCGCAUUAGCUAGUUGGUAAGGUAACGGCUUACCAAGGCAACGAUGCGUAGCCGACCUGAGAGGAUGAUCGGCCACACUGGAACUGAGACACGGUCCAGACUCCUACGGGAGGCAGCAGUAGGGAAUCUUCCACAAUGGGCGAAAGCCUGACGGAGCAACGCCGCGUGAGUGAUGAAGGUCUUCGGAUCGUAAAACUCUUUUAUUAGGGAAGAACAAAUGUGUAAGUAACUAUGCACGUCUUGACGGUACCUAAUCAGAAAGCCACGGCUAACUACGUG